Molecule: transfer RNA, 70 nt
Filed under: Enteromius trimaculatus (threespot barb)
Lineage: Eukaryota; Metazoa; Chordata; Actinopteri; Cypriniformes; Cyprinidae
Description: tRNA-Tyr
Rfam family: tRNA
About the family: Transfer RNA (tRNA) molecules are approximately 80 nucleotides in length. Their secondary structure includes four short double-helical elements and three loops (D, anti-codon, and T loops). Further hydrogen bonds mediate the characteristic L-shaped molecular structure. tRNAs have two regions of fundamental functional importance: the anti-codon, which is responsible for specific mRNA codon recognition, and the 3' end, to which the tRNAs corresponding amino acid is attached (by aminoacyl-tRNA synthetases). tRNAs cope with the degeneracy of the genetic code in two manners: having more than one tRNA (with a specific anti-codon) for a particular amino acid; and 'wobble' base-pairing, i.e. permitting non-standard base-pairing at the 3rd anti-codon position.
Source: RNAcentral
GGUAGGGUAGCUAAGCGUCAGGCAGUGGGUUGUAGCCCCAAAAACGAAGGUUUAAAUCCUUUUCCUAUCA